RNAcentral lists this ribosomal RNA (372 nucleotides) under uncultured organism. RNAcentral describes it as "bacterial SSU rRNA". It matches the Rfam family "Bacterial small subunit ribosomal RNA", at positions 526 to 896 of the family's 1533-position model. The record is from RNAcentral.
CGUAGGGUGCGAGCGUUAAUCGGAAUUACUGGGCGUAAAGCGUGCGCAGGCGGUUACAUAAGACAGAUGUGAAAUCCCCGGGCUCAACCUGGGAACUGCGUUUGUGACUGUGUGACUAGAGUGCGGCAGAGGGGGGUGGAAUUCCUGGUGUAGCAGUGAAAUGCGUAGAUAUCAGGAGGAACAUCGAUGGCGAAGGCAGCCCCCUGGGCCUGUACUGACGCUCAUGCACGAAAGCGUGGGGAGCAAACAGGAUUAGAUACCCUGGUAGUCCACGCCCUAAACGAUGUCGACUAGUUGUUCGGGAAGGUGACUUCUUGAGUAACGUAGCUAACGCGUGAAGUCGACCGCCUGGGGAGUACGGCCGCAAGGUUA